This 261-nucleotide unclassified non-coding RNA is filed under the name plant metagenome. Its description in RNAcentral is "partial contains small subunit ribosomal RNA, internal transcribed spacer 1, and 5.8S ribosomal RNA". The record is from RNAcentral.
UUUCCGUAGGUGAACCUGCGGAAGGAUCAUUAUUGUAUAACCGAGGUGCGAGGGCAGUCGCUGACCCGAAAGGUCGUGCACGCCCGAGUGCCCUCACACAUCCAUCUCACCCCUAUGUGCACCACCGCGUGGGUCCCCCUUUGGCUUGUUCGGAGGGGGGCUUACGUUUUCACACAAACUUUGUAUGCAGUGUAGAAUGUAUUUUUUGUUUUUGCGAUCACGCAAUCAAUACAACUUUCAACAACGGAUCUCUUGGCUCUC